UACGGGGGGAGCAAGCGUUGUUCGGAUUUACUGGGCGUAAAGGGCGCGUAGGCGGUCAGCACAAGUCAGUUGUGAAAUCUCCGGGCUUAACCCGGAACGGUCAACUGAUACUGUGCGACUAGAGUGUGGAAGGGGCAACUGGAAUUCUCGGUGUAGCGGUGAAAUGCGUAGAUAUCGAGAGGAACACCUGCGGCGAAGGCGGGUUGCUGGGCCGACACUGACGCUGAUGCGCGAAAGCGUGGGGAGCGAUCCGG
This 254-nucleotide ribosomal RNA is filed under the name uncultured bacterium. Its description in RNAcentral is "partial 16S ribosomal RNA". It matches the Rfam family "Bacterial small subunit ribosomal RNA", at positions 524 to 776 of the family's 1533-position model. The record is from RNAcentral.